CAGCAGCCGCGGUAAUACGUAGGGUGCAAGCGUUAAUCGGAAUUACUGGGCGUAAAGCGCACGCAGGCGGUUUGUUAAGUCAGAUGUGAAAUCCCCGAGCUUAACUUGGGAACUGCAUUUGAAACUGGCAAGCUAGAGUCUUGUAGAGGGGGGUAGAAUUCCAGGUGUAGCGGUGAAAUGCGUAGAGAUCUGGAGGAAUACCGGUGGCGAAGGCGGCCCCCUGGACAAAGACUGACGCUCAGGUGCGAAAGCGUGGGGAGCAAACAGGAUUAGAUACCCCUGUAGUCCCUGUCUCUUAUAC
This 301-nucleotide ribosomal RNA is filed under the name uncultured bacterium. RNAcentral's name for it is "partial 16S ribosomal RNA". It matches the Rfam family "Bacterial small subunit ribosomal RNA", at positions 509 to 807 of the family's 1533-position model. The record is from RNAcentral.